GUGUGUGUGUGUGUGUGGUGGGGGGGCGGGGAUGGGAGUCUGAUUGAAUGCAGGUGUGUUUAAUCAGAAGCUUGGUGACUGAGUGCGGGUAAGAGUGUGCUUUCUGGGGAGUGGAGUUUGAGGCAGCUGUAUUAGUAGGCCGCGGAGGUUGUUGGGACAUGGAGUCCACGGAGCGCUGUGAUGUGACAAAUAGACGUUGAUGAGUAGUCUGUCACACCAAAAGCUAAGGAUCUUAGAUGCUGGUUUAUCUUUGGUUCCCAUGAAGUUGCUGUUUGUAAAUUGCUGCAGAAUCAUUGAACCCCUUUGGGAACUGAGCAUCAGUCUGUAAUGGAAAGAAAAUGGGGUUAACCUAAUCAUUGCCAUGAGGAAAAUGUGGACAUUAUCAUCAGUAGACAUGAAUCAUAAUAGAAGGUCUUGUUCAUGUGAUCUUUCACCAGAUGCACAAGAUGCCAACUGACUUAAGCACUCCACAAGACCACAAUCACUUUCAAUAUAAUGUUUAUAGAUUUCACAUGUGCAGUUCAUGGCUUCUGUGUGGGAUGGUAUAGGCAGAAGGGAAUGUGUGUGUGUAUCAUGUAAUCUUUUUUGUUGUUAUUCUUUCCAUUAGUAUCAGAAAUGUCACACCCUAGAUGCCUUGUAUCCACAGGAUGCACACCAAGACCUAGAUAAGAGAGAGAGUUUCCAGAACUAAUCAGCUUUAGCUUUAUUUACCAAGCAUUGAAUUAUUAAUUAGGAUUGGCUGCAGUUGCAUGGCUUGGUGCUUGAACACUUCAAUUUAUUUUGGGCCUAUCAGUGUCUUGCAAUAUGGACUGCACCAAAUAUGGACUGCAAGAGAAGAUGGACAUUCAUCAAAGCAUUCUUCUAUUCCACAAAGCACUGGGAAGUUCUACAGCAACAGAAAGGAAAACCCAAUGCAUUUUCAGUAAUUGACUCCAGAGAUGCUUUCAGUAUCAGGGCUGUGACAGAAGUGUUACACGAGAAAAGGCACAGCGCAACUGCUCCGAAUGUGCUUGGAGACUAGUCUGUAGAACCAAGCUUCACUACUAACGUGUAGAAUAUUACAGCUUUUCAAAAACAAUGUAACCUUAGUUUGAGUUGCAUUGGAAUCGAUCCGAUACAUGCAAGAAGAGGAUGACACAGCCUUUUAUAACAGCGGCUUACGUCACUCAUAACUUGAUCCAUGCCUUUACCCAAGCAGAAGAGAUCCAAAGGAUGCCUCAAAUUUCAUUAUACAUCUCAUUACCACCUCUGGCUGCCAGACUUACAGACUCUGAAUGUUGUUGCUUCAAUUUAGGGUCCAGCAUCUGUGUAAUGCAGCCAAGUACAAUAACACUGAAGCAAUGCAUUACAGCUUUGAAAUACUGUAAACAAUUUACAGUGUGAAUAUUGUUCACAGAAAGAGGUAGGAUACAGCAACAUUAAUAUUUUUAUCUAGACCAUUUUAUGGGUUUGAAAUGGAUAUCUGCCUUGGAAAACUAUGAGCUUGAAAACUGUAAGAUUGUAGAGGUCAGAAGCUAUAGUUUGAACAAUGAUACAAAUAUGUUACUGUAUUUAUCUAGACUUUUGCCAAAAACAGUGCCCUUAGAAUGAUUAAAAGGUAUCUUCAGGAUAUGGCCAGGGCAAAAGAAGUGGCCAGUCAGCCCAUUCUGUAUGCAUAAAGCAGUCUGUGCUAAAUACUGCUCUGCUUCCCGGAAAGCACAUGGUUUCUCCCUCACUGACAACCUACAUUUCAAGCCAUUCCCUGUUGAGGCAGCCUGCUCCCUCUCUCUCCACUAGAGUGGAAAAUUUUAUUAGUCAGCUGGGAAGUCCCUCAGACUUUGAUAUUGUACAAUGAUAUUGUAAACUGUUCAUGCAUUCAUGUUCUGUAAAACAUUAAAUAGUCCAUUAAGGAACGUACUGUAAUAAAGGGGUUGGAUCUUAUGCACGACACUGAACAUUCUGAGACUCCUAGUGGGGAAAACACAAAAGCCUCAUUCUAUUACUAUGCUGAAAUGAAUUUUUCAUAUACAAACAAUAAUUAGUCAAUACUGAAUUUAAAAAACAUGUUUAAAGUAACGCAUACGAGGGUUGUAAUGCAAAAAAGGUUUUUGAUUCAUUUGUCUCUUCAAAAAAAAAAAAAAAAAAACAGAAAAUAUCUAGCAUUAUCAUGCUGGUAGUGUUAUAUAUGCCAGUUAUAUGGCAGUAUAGAAUAUGCUGGUCUUUGUAAGUGGAUAUCCAAUUCUUUUGAAGGCCUUGCCUUACCACUUUGUUUGCUGUUCUCUUUUUUCUCAAAUAAUUAAGUAACUAAGUUUUCUUUUUUCUAGUUUCAUCCAAGGAAAGCUUUAUUUAGUCAUGGACAAUUUUCAACCACUAGUUGAAAUUGUAUACUAUAUAAGUAUACUCUAAGUAUGUUGGCACAUGAAUAUGAACAAAACAUGACGUUUUUCUGUGUCCAGAAAUAAGUGGGAUCAAAUAUGUCAGUCAUAAUCAUAUGAUUGAUAACUAAGUAUAAGUACAAGCUGUUUUUCUUCUAUAUAUAUAUAUACAUGUAAAUGCAUUCCAUAGGUAGGUUGACCUCCAGUAAUCUGGAACAAAGUUUUACAAUUUUGACAUCCAUCCAACAUGUUAAGCACUUCUGAAAAACGUUUAAUGAUAUAUAAUCAUAUCUCAGAGAAAAAAGUAUACAGUAUAUAGAUCACACUUCCAGUUAGCUUUCUUGGUGCAAAAAAAAAAAAAAAUCCUGUCUGCAUUUGGGACAACUAACUAGGUAUUAUCUCUGGCAAAGCCAAAUAUUAAUAUUUUCUUCUUAAGAAACUUCUUAAGAAAAUGCAAAUACCAUAUUGUGUGUUUAUCUGUGUAUAUCUGUAUAUUGUAAUCUUAUGUAUGUAUGUAUGUUAUGUUAUGGUUUAAUUCUUGAUGUUUUAUAUCAGGGAUGCCAAACUGGAGUCCAAAGGCUAUGCAAAAAUUACCAUACUACCUCACUUGUUUAAACAUUUCUGCUAAUUACAAAAGGGUUGAAUCACAUUUAUUAGGAAAAGGAAAUAAAAAUCUGUGUGGGACUGUCGCCCUCCAGAGGCUGAGAUUGACGCUCCUGCUUUGUAGGCAAUAAGCCAGGGAACUCUUGGUUAGGGGUUAGGAGUGAUGAACCUGAUGAACAGGAAGAAAUAGACCUUGCUAUUAUAGGGUUCAGUGUAAUAUUAAUAGAUUGAUCCAUAACGUUUCGAUCAAAAAGGUCAAAGCCUAUAACAACAUACAUUUCUCUGCUAAAUUUCAUUCAAAUUUUGAUGUAAUAUUUGUGAUUUGUUAAGACUGCGACUGCAGGCUACUAACAUUAAAGUUCACAGUGUGUGACUGUGUCAACCACAAAUGGCCCCAGAUAUUGGAAUGUUUGGUUGAUUUAUUGAUUGACGGGCAGUUGUGGUUACACAGUUCUGAUAAUAGGGGGUGCUGUGGCACCCUCAGUUUAGUAUGGAGCAUAAAAAUACACAAAUACAGUAUAGGAACAUUGUUUUAUUUCUGACAUAUUUACAGCCUAUAGAGUAAAGUUGGAAAAACCUUGUCAUUCACUAUACCUUGCUAUCGCUCUGAGGAAACAUUACUCAUAUCCCACCUGUCCUGGGUUCUUCGUAUGAAGAUUCAUGCAAAAUAAAGAUUUAUAUAUAUAUAUUUUACUCUAGAGAUAUGUCUUUUCCUGACAGUCAGGUACAGUACUGCGAUUAAUUGAACUACUGAACUGUAGUGUAAUAGGCAUUGUUCUCGCACUAGUCUCGGAUUGGUGAGCCUGUUUGUGUCAGAUAGAUGAGCACUGGUGCGUUUUGACAGCAUGUGAUUGGUCGUUGACUCAUGUAUGAGUUUUUCCCAUUUUAUGAGCUCAGCUCAGCAGUGGCGGUUCUAGAGUACACUAACUGGGGGGCCAGGCAGGGGCCACUUGUGCUUUUAGGGGCCACACUAACAUUUAUUUUCAGGAUUAUUUUUCAGUCACUUUUCAAUAUGUCAUAUAUCACUCUGUUUUACAAGCAAAUAAGCUAAUAAAAUAAGUUCAACUCAAAUGA
Long non-coding RNA from Pangasianodon hypophthalmus (striped catfish), 4031 nucleotides. RefSeq lists it as uncharacterized. Lineage: Eukaryota; Metazoa; Chordata; Actinopteri; Siluriformes; Pangasiidae. The transcript is spliced from 2 exons. The record is from RefSeq and is a predicted model, not a curated record.